Molecule: ribosomal RNA, 254 nt
Filed under: uncultured bacterium
Lineage: Bacteria
Description: partial 16S ribosomal RNA
Rfam family: Bacterial small subunit ribosomal RNA
Source: RNAcentral
UACGGGGGGGGCAAGCGUUGUUCGGAAUUACUGGGCGUAAAGGGCGCGUAGGCGGCCUUCUAAGUCGGACGUGAAAUCCCUCGGCUUAACCGAGGAACGCGUCCGAGACUGAAAGGCUUGAAUCCGGGAGAGGGAUGUGGAAUUCCAGGUGUAGCGGUGAAAUGCGUAGAUAUCGUAAGGAAGACCAGUGGCGAAGGCGAGUUCCGUGGACAGUUACUGACACUGAGGCACGAAGGCCAGGGGAGCGAAACGGG